AUGUCGUUAUGCUUACCGAUACCUGGCUGAAUGAUAAUAUUGAUUUACAUACUACAGCGAUUCCUGAAUAUAUAUUUUUUCAUAAGGAUAGAUUAGGCGUCGAUGCCUACGUAAAACAUACGUCAAGAAGUUUUCUUUGAUUUUAUGACAAAUGCCGUAUCGUGUGGAUGCUGUAUAUCGAUACAUUUGAAAGAUUAUUUUAUCCCGUCAAAUAUUCGUCAAAACUUUACAAACGGCACGCUCUUUGGACUAUUCGACAAGUGAGUGUUAUUUGGUACACCUAUAUUAGACUGCUUAGGAGACGAUAUAUAACUCAUUAAUGAAAACGAAAAUUUUGCCCGAAUGUACACCACUAGCAACUUCAAGCAAGCGGUUGGCCUGUGGACAAUUGAUAAUGGACAUGUGAUGAAUAUCUAAAAUAGAUCUAUGGAUCUCAGAACCAAGAACGGAUAAAAAAACAGAUAGGGAUCCAAAUUGUAAUCCGAACGUAUAAAACAAGGAAAAUAUCUGUUUGCUGUUUGUGUUUGAUUAUUUUUAUCUAGUACCUAUUACU
Molecule: long non-coding RNA, 553 nt
Organism: Anoplophora glabripennis (Asian longhorned beetle)
Lineage: Eukaryota; Metazoa; Arthropoda; Insecta; Coleoptera; Cerambycidae
Exons: 3
Source: RefSeq, a predicted model, not a curated record